CCUACGGGUGGCAGCAGUGGGGAAUAUUGCACAAUGGGGGAAACCCUGAUGCAGCGACGCCGCGUGAGCGAAGAAGUAUUUCGGUAUGUAAAGCUCUAUCAGCAGGGAAGAAAAUGACGGUACCUGAGUAAGAAGCUCCGGCUAAAUACGUGCCAGCAGCCGCGGUAAUACGUAUGGAGCAAGCGUUAUCCGGAUUUACUGGGUGUAAAGGGAGCGCAGGCGGCCUUGCAAGUCUGAUGUGAAAUACCGGGGCUCAACCCCGGAGCUGCAUUUGAAACUGUUUCCCUUGAGUAUCGGAGAGGUCAUCGGAAUUCCUAGUGUAGCGGUGAAAUGCGUAGAUAUUAGGAAGAACACCAGUGGCGAAGGCGGAUGACUGGACGACAACUGACGGUGAGGCGCGAAAGCGUGGGGAGCAAACAGGAUUAGAUACCCGAGUAGUC
Molecule: ribosomal RNA, 440 nt
Filed under: uncultured bacterium
Lineage: Bacteria
Description: partial 16S ribosomal RNA
Rfam family: Bacterial small subunit ribosomal RNA
Source: RNAcentral